AUGUUUGAGAAGGAAUGCAAGCAUGAUCCCGCCAUGCUAUGUGCAGACGAAUGCUCUGAAGAUUGUAAACUGCGUUUAUACAGGAAGUACACCCCCUCGUGAGGGGGCUUGACGGUGGUUUAAGGGUUAAGAUCAACUAGGUCCGUGUCAGCAGCCGGGGCAUACGGAGUAUCCAAAGGUUAUCCGGAUUCAUUGGGUUUAAAGGGUCCGUAGGUGGAUAAUUAAGUCAGAGGUGAAAGUCUGCAGGUCAUUUGUAGAAUUGCCUAUUUUACUGGUUAUCUUGAGUCGUUGUGAAGUGGUUAGAAUAUGUAGUAUAGCGGUGAAAUGCAUAGAUCUUACAUAGAAUACCAAUUGGUAGGCAGAUCACUAAUAAUUUAUUGACACUGAUGGUGAAAGCGAGGGGGGAAAACACGAUAGAUACCCUGGUGUCCACGCCCUA
This 439-nucleotide ribosomal RNA is filed under the name uncultured marine bacterium. Its description in RNAcentral is "bacterial SSU rRNA". It matches the Rfam family "Bacterial small subunit ribosomal RNA", at positions 361 to 804 of the family's 1533-position model. The record is from RNAcentral.